UUCAAAAUAUAGCUUUUUCAAGAGCAUAGCACAACUUAAAUAAUUUUCGAAUUUUUCUUUAUUAUCUCAUCACCAUUACUCUUGUUAUUUUAUUUUACUUUUAUUUCAAAAUAAUACCAGAAUGGAAAAAAUGAAAAAUUUAUUUUUUAUUAAAAACAGUUUAAUUACAAACUGUGAAGAAAAACAAACAAGCAACAAAUCAGGAAAUGAAGAACAACAUAACACUAAAAAUCUGAAUGACGCAUUCAUCGAUAUCAUAAAAAAAAUACCUAUAAAUCCAUUUAUUGAUAGUAAAGAAAAUUUAAAUAAGUAUGAAUAUGGCGUUGAAAAAAAAACUAGUGAAAGGUAUACAGGAGUACAAGUAUAUGAUGAGCAUGAUGAAAAAGACCAUAAAAAACAACAACCCAUAGAUUACCCUUUUCCUAUUAGUAAAAAAUUAAUAUUUGAAAAAAAUAAAGUUAACAAAACGGACGAUCGUAUAAAUAUAAAUUAUAGCAACAUUAUAUCUGACUUAUAUCCUGAAGAAGGAUAUAAAGGACCGAAUAAAAAACAACAUUUUUCAUCUGAUUGGGAAUUAUUAUUAGCUUAUAAUCAUGGUUUAUAUAAAUUCAAAAAUACUAAUAAUAAUUAUAAUGCUAUUAUAAAUAGAGAUAUGUAUACAUUAAACACUGAAAAUGAUAUCAGAAACAAUGUGAAUUUAUAUACUGAUAAAGUUAGUGUUGAUAACCCAAAUGAUACAUGUAAAUAUCUAGGUAUAGAAGAAUACAAAUGUCUAUUAACACAUUCUUUCCAUAUGAAUACAAAUGUAAGUAACCAAAAAUGUGUAAAGUGGUUUAAUGAAUAUAUGCAAUGUAAAUGGGAUGAACAUAAAUUAAAUAACGGUUAUAAUUAUAUUGAAAAUAGGAGAGAUAAGAAAUCUAAGGCAUAUAUAGCCGCUCCUGAUUAUCAAUAUUCAUAGGAUGGCUGAUUUACAUGUAAAAUGUAUGCACGUGUGCAUUUAUAUAUAUAUAUAUAUAUAUAUAUAUAUAUAUAUAUAUAUAUAUAUGUAGUACUUACAUACUAUUUGCUCAAGCUUACUGAAAUAUUAUCGUACAACAGACAGAAAGUUAUUUUUUUUUUUCACUAAUUAAAAGAAUGUCUAAAAAAAAUUUACUUUUUUAUAAAACAAUGUCCUAACCUUUUUAAGAUAAAAUCAAUUUAUUUCGCAUUCAUUCUUUUCACUUUAUUUUGGAUUGUAAAAUAUAAAUGCACUAUUUGUUUACCCCU
This 1266-nucleotide long non-coding RNA is filed under the name Piliocolobus tephrosceles (Ugandan red Colobus). RNAcentral describes it as "lncRNA (ENSPTEG00000008103.1)". The record is from RNAcentral. Lineage: Eukaryota; Metazoa; Chordata; Mammalia; Primates; Cercopithecidae.